RNAcentral lists this ribosomal RNA (479 nucleotides) under uncultured Acidovorax sp. RNAcentral's name for it is "bacterial SSU rRNA". It matches the Rfam family "Bacterial small subunit ribosomal RNA", at positions 903 to 1382 of the family's 1533-position model. Lineage: Bacteria; Pseudomonadati; Pseudomonadota; Betaproteobacteria; Burkholderiales; Comamonadaceae. The record is from RNAcentral.
CUACAAAGGAAUUGACGGGACCGCACAAGCGGUGGAUGAUGUGGUUUAAUUCGAUGCAACGCGAAAACCUUACCACCUUUGACAUGUACGGAAUCCUUUAGAGAUAGAGGAGUGCUCGAAAGAGAACCGUAACACAGGUGCUGCAUGGCUGUCGUCAGCUCGUGUCGUGAGAUGUUGGGUUAAGUCCCGCAACGAGCGCAACCCUUGUCAUUAGUUGCUACAUUCAGUUGGGCACUCUAAUGAGACUGCCGGUGACAAACCGGAGGAAGGUGGGGAUGACGUCAAGUCCUCAUGGCCCUUAUAGGUGGGGCUACACACGUCAUACAAUGGAUGGUACAAAGGGUCGCCAACCCGCGAGGGGGAGCCAAUCCCAUAAAGCCAUUCGUAGUCCGGAUCGCAGUCUGCAACUCGACUGCGUGAAGUCGGAAUCGCUAGUAAUCGUGGAUCAGAAUGUCACGGUGAAUACGUUCCCGGGUCUU